UACGUAGGGGGCUAGCGUUGUCCGGAUUUAUUGGGCGUAAAGAGCGUGUAGGCGGCCAGGUAGGUCUGCUGUGAAAACUCGAGGCUUAACCUCGAGAUGUCGGCGGAAACCAUCUGGCUAGAGUCCGGAAGAGGAGAGUGGAAUUCCUGGUGUAGCGGUGAAAUGCGCAGAUAUCAGGAAGAACACCCGUGGCGAAGGCGGCCCUCUGGGACGGUACUGACGCUGAGACGCGAAAGCGUGGGGAGCGAACAGG
This 253-nucleotide ribosomal RNA is filed under the name uncultured bacterium. Its description in RNAcentral is "partial 16S ribosomal RNA". It matches the Rfam family "Bacterial small subunit ribosomal RNA", at positions 524 to 776 of the family's 1533-position model. The record is from RNAcentral.